UUGGUCCGGCUCCACGUGCUCAUCAGACCCUGGGAUAAUGUUGGUCUGACUGUUGACCUGCACCUGAGCGUUGUUCUGUGUGCUUGAGUUUCCAACGCCAGAGAGGAAGGUGAUGAUGAAGGCCAGCAGGCUGAGAGAGCAGCGAAGUUGGUGGUGUGGUUGCAGAAACAUCUCAGGACUCCGUCUGAAGCGUUCCCUUUAGAGCAGCCGUCGGUGCUCCAGUCCUGCAGACUGUAGUCCCAGAAGACACAGGCGAAGUCGUACAGAGACGUCCCAUUCAUCAUCUGAGACAGCAGCAGAUACAACAUCUCAUCUCCACGUGUUGCGGCACCACGCUGCGCUCCUGACCUCUAACGCUGGCCGACAGGACCCUGAUGGUGGCCCGUCCCCUUCUAUACCGCCUCGACCUGAAGAAACGGUCGUUCUGGUAGAGGACGAAACCCAGCGAGACGUUUGAUGGCUUCUGACGGCCACUGACAGCCUCUUCAGACACAAGAAGAAACUGACAGGCUCCUGUAUGGCUUCG
Molecule: long non-coding RNA, 526 nt
Organism: Micropterus salmoides (largemouth bass)
Lineage: Eukaryota; Metazoa; Chordata; Actinopteri; Centrarchiformes; Centrarchidae
Exons: 4
Source: RefSeq, a predicted model, not a curated record